CCCCGGUAAACGGCGGCCGUAACUAUAACGGUCCUAAGGUAGCGAAAUUCCUUGUCGGGUAAGUUCCGACCUGCACGAAUGGCGUAAUGAUGGCCAGGCUGUCUCCACCCGAGACUCAGUGAAAUUGAACUCGCUGUGAAGAUGCAGUGUACCCGCGGCAAGACGGAAAGACCCCGUGAACCUUUACUAUAGCUUGACACUGAACAUUGAGCCUUGAUGUGUAGGAUAGGUGGGAGGCUUUGAAGUGUGGACGCCAGUCUGCAUGGAGCCGACCUUGAAAUACCACCCUUUAAUGUUUGAUGUUCUAACGUGGACCCGUAAUCCGGGUUGCGGACAGUGUCUGGUGGGUAGUUUGACUGGGGCGGUCUCCUCCUAAAGAGUAACGGAGGAGCACGAAGGUUGGCUAAUCCUGGUCGGACAUCAGGAGGUUAGUGCAAUGGCAUAAGCCAGCUUGACUGCGAGCGUGACGGCGCGAGCAGGUGCGAAAGCAGGUCAUAGUGAUCCGGUGGUUCUGAAUGGAAGGGCCAUCGCUCAACGGAUAAAAGGUACUCCGGGGAUAACAGGCUGAUACCGCCCAAGAGUUCAUAUCGACGGCGGUGUUUGGCACCUCGAUGUCGGCUCAUCACAUCCUGGGGCUGAAGUAGGUCCCAAGGGUAUGGCUGUUCGCCAUUUAAAGUGGUACGCGAGCUGGGUUUAGAACGUCGUGAGACAGUUCGGUCCCUAUCUGCCGUGGGCGCUGGAGAACUGAGGGGGGCUGCUCCUAGUACGAGAGGACCGGAGUGGACGCAUCACUGGUGUUCGGGUUGUCAUGCCAAUGGCACUGCCCGGUAGCUAAAUGCGGAAGAGAUAAGUGCUGAAAGCAUCUAAGCACGAAACUUGCCCCGAGAUGAGUUCUCCCUGAGACUUAGAGUCUCCUGAAGGAACGUUGAAGACGACGACGUUGAUAGGCCGGGUGUGUAAGCGCAGCGAUGCGUUGA
This 977-nucleotide ribosomal RNA is filed under the name Salmonella enterica. RNAcentral describes it as "partial 23S ribosomal RNA". It matches the Rfam family "Bacterial large subunit ribosomal RNA", at positions 1918 to 2889 of the family's 2925-position model. RNAcentral also lists the same sequence under 3 other names. The record is from RNAcentral. Lineage: Bacteria; Pseudomonadati; Pseudomonadota; Gammaproteobacteria; Enterobacterales; Enterobacteriaceae.